GAUGAGAACGUAGCGAAAUGCGAUAAGUAAUGUGAAUUGCAGAAUUCAGUGAAUCAUCGAAUCUUUGAACGCACCUUGCGCUCCUUGGCAUUCCGAGGAGCAUGCCUGUUUGAGUGUCAUUAAAUUCUCAAGACCUGUCUGCUUUUUUGAUAGGUAUUGGAUUUUGGGGGUUGCAGGCUGUUUCAAAUAAAUAGCCUUGCUCUCCUUGAAUGUAUUAGUGGAGAAAAGCCAUUGAACUCCAUUGGUGUGAUAAAACCUAUCAAUGCCAGGAGCAAUAUCACUACUUCUCUCUGCUGUCUAACUGUGACUGUCUGUAUUAAUUAGUAUGGAUGGGGACAACUUGACCAACUUGACCUCAAAUCAGGUAGGACUACCCGCUGAACUUAAGCAUAUCAAUAAGCGGAGGA
RNAcentral lists this unclassified non-coding RNA (407 nucleotides) under soil metagenome. RNAcentral describes it as "partial contains 5.8S ribosomal RNA, internal transcribed spacer 2, and large subunit ribosomal RNA". The stretch from base 5 to 119 matches the Rfam family "5.8S ribosomal RNA", at positions 40 to 154 of the family's 154-position model. The record is from RNAcentral.